CAUAGCGACUAUCGUGGCAUAUCAAUAAGCGGAGGAAAAGAAACUAACAAGGAUUCCCCUAGUAACGGCGAGUGAAGCGGGAAGAGCUCAAAUUUGAAAUCUUAAAGGGUUUCCCUUUACGAAUUGUAGUUUAAAGAAGUGUUUUCUGUUGGAGUUUUGGUAAAAGUUCUUUGGAAUAGGACAUCAUAGAGGGUGAGAAUCCCGUAUUUGACCAUUAUUUCCAGCUGUGUGAUACACUUUCAAAGAGUCGGAUUGUUUGGGAAUGCAGUCCAAAAUGGGUGGUAAAUUUCAUCUAAAGCUAAAUAUUGGCGAGAGACCGAUAGCGAACAAGUACCGUGAGGGAAAGAUGAAAAGAACUUUGAAAAGAGAGUUAAACAGUACGUGAAAUUGUCAAAAGGGAAGCGUUUGACACCAGUGUUGUUUUCUCGAAAAUCAAUUAAAAAUGGCCGGAUUUUGUGUUGUAUUGACUUUAUCAGCUUUCUGCACUUUUUUCUUGUCUUUUUUAAUGCACUUUUCGUUUAACAAGUCAACAUCAAUUUCUUUUGUUGUAAAAGAGUCAUUGGAAGGUGGCUUUCAUUUCGGUGAAAGUGUUUAUAGCCUUUGACUUCUGCAAUCGGAGAGAUUGAGGUCUGCAGCGUAGAUCCUUCGGGGUUAGAUACAUUUGUGCUAAGUUAUAGUUUUUCAUAGACAACAUGUUGACUAUGAUUAAUCAUGUAGCUUACUCGCUUAUGCUAUUUUACCUACGCUUAGGAUGUUGAUAUGCAUGACUGAUAU
RNAcentral lists this ribosomal RNA (774 nucleotides) under uncultured Neocallimastigales. RNAcentral's name for it is "partial large subunit ribosomal RNA". It matches the Rfam family "Eukaryotic large subunit ribosomal RNA", at positions 22 to 635 of the family's 3401-position model. Lineage: Eukaryota; Fungi; Neocallimastigomycota; Neocallimastigomycetes; Neocallimastigales. The record is from RNAcentral.